UUAUCCGGAAUUAUUGGGCGUAAAGCGCCUGUAGGUUGUUUAAUAAGUCUGGUAUUAAAGACUAGGGCUCAACCCUAGAAAAAUAUUGGAUACUGUUAAGCUCGAGUAUGGUAGAGGUAGAGGGAAUUUCUAGUGUAGCGGUGAAGUGCGUAGAUAUUAGAAAGAACACCGGUGGCGAAAGCGCUCUACUGGGCCAUUACUGACACUCAGAGGCGAAAGCUAGGGGAGCAAAAGGGAUUAGAUACCCCUGUAGUCCUAGCCGUAAACGAUGGAUACUAGGUGUUGUAUUUUUUUUACAGUAUCGUAGCUAACGCGUUAAGUAUCCCGCCUGGGGAGUACGCACGCAAGGGUGAAACUUAAAGGAAUUGACGGGGGCCCGCACAAGCGGUGGAGCAUGUGGUUUAAUUCGAUGCAACGCGAAGAACCUUACCAGGACUUGACAUACUACAAAUCUUUUAGAAAUAGGAGAGUGCCUUCGGGAAUGUAGAUACAGGUGGUGCAUGGCUGUCGUCAGCUCGUGCCGUGAGAUGUUGGGUUAAGUCCCGCAACGAGCGCAACCCUCGUUUUUAGUUGCCGUUUUCGGAUCUCUAGAAAGACUGCCGGUGACAAACCGGAGGAAGGUGAGGAUGACGUCAAGUCAGCAUGCCCCUUAUGUCCUGGGCUACACACGUGCUACAAUGAUAAAAACAAAGAGUCGUAAAUCCGCGAGGACUAACUAAUCUCAUAAAUUUUAUCUCAGUUCAGAUUGUAGGCUGCAACU
This 760-nucleotide ribosomal RNA is filed under the name uncultured marine haptophyte. RNAcentral's name for it is "bacterial SSU rRNA". It matches the Rfam family "Bacterial small subunit ribosomal RNA", at positions 541 to 1312 of the family's 1533-position model. Lineage: Eukaryota; Haptophyta. The record is from RNAcentral.